This 465-nucleotide ribosomal RNA is filed under the name uncultured bacterium. Its description in RNAcentral is "partial 16S ribosomal RNA". It matches the Rfam family "Bacterial small subunit ribosomal RNA", at positions 339 to 795 of the family's 1533-position model. The record is from RNAcentral.
CUACGGGUUGCUGCAGUGAGGAAUUUUGCGCAAUGGGGGCAACCCUGACGCAGCAACGCCGCGUGAGUGAAAAAGGCUUUCGGGUCGUAAAGCUCUGUCGAGUGGGAAGAAAGUGCGCGUAUUGAACAGGUAUGCGUAUUGACGGUACCACCAAAGGAAGCACCGGCUAACUCCGUGCCAGCAGCCGCGGUAAUACGGAGGGUGCAAGCGUGAUUCGGAAUUAUUGGGCGUAAAGGGCGCGUAGGCGGUUGUCAAAGUCAGGUGUGAAAUCCCAAGGCUUAACCUUGGAAGUGCAUUUGAAACUUGGCGACUUGAGUAUGGGAGAGGAAAGCGGAAUUCCUGGUGUAGAGGUGAAAUUCGUAGAUAUCAGGAGGAACACCUGUGGCGAAGGCGGCUUUCUGGACCAAUACUGACGCUGAGGCGCGAAGGCGUGGGGAGCAAACAGGAUUAGAUACCCUCGUAGUC